AGAGAUGGGGUUUCACCAGUUUGCAGGAUGGUCUCUAUCUCCUGACCUUGUGAUCCACCCCACCUCAGCCUCCCAAAGUGCUGGGAUUGCAGGUGCGAGCCACGGGUCCAGCCUCUCAGGCGAUUUUCAUACCUGCAUACUUCAUCACUACUUCUGUAAACAGCAAGGAGGGUAGUAUUAUCUGUCAGAUUUCCAGAGCUCUGGUCUCUGUAAAGCCCUCUUCCUCCUCAAUAUUCUGCCUAUGAAUUCUAGCCACAUGGCCUUGCCCAGACUCACAGUUCUUCUUCAACUCAGGAAGAUCUCUGAGCUCCAUCUGCAUUCUUUCUUCCUGUGCUGUGGCCUGGAAAGUUUUCUAAGGUGUUUGGGAGCUGAGUGCCACGUGCUGACAUCACUAAGAUCAAUACAGCAAACUCUGAAAGAUGGACAGAGAGACAGGAGAUCGUCCUUUGUAAUUCAGUGUGAUCUGUGCUGCAAUAGAGGUGAGCACAAGGGCCUUACGAAGGCUCAAUGAAGAGCAUGCUUGACUGCAGGGGAGGGUACUUAGGUUAGAAAAGAUGAAUCGAAGUAUGUUCAUAGGGAGCAUGGGAGGAGAGGUGGUGGGAAAGGUGUUCCAGACAGUGUGUGUCAAGGCCAAGAGCCAGGGGAACACAGGUGGGGCUUCUUUUUUUUUCUUCUAAGAUGGAAGAGUGUUCUGAUCGGCUGGAAAACAACGCACAUGGGAAGCUGUACAGAAAUGAGUGGGGAAAGGUAAUACUUAACAGCAAUAGCAGUUAAUAUUUAGUGCCCACUUACGACAUGCUGGACACAGUUCCGGGUACUCUGAACAUAUUCGCUCAUUUAAUCUUUACAACAACCCUAUGAGGUAGGUACUAUUAUUAUCCCCAUUUUCAGGUGCGGAAUCUGAGGCACAGAGAGAUUAAGUAUGUUGCCCAGGGCCACGCACCAAGUAUGUGGUAGGUCCUGGAGUUGAAUGCAGAGCCCCUCCACUCUAAACUCCUGAAAGCCAGAUGCUACAAGGCGUUGUUAUUCCAAGUGGAGGAAUGCUAAGGACAGCAUCCUGCAGGUGACCAGGAAACCCAGAAGCAUUCAAAGCAGGGAAAUGGCUUAAAACAAGGUGGUAUAAGAAAGUACUCCCAGAGCAGCAUGCAAGUCUGGUUUAGUGGAGGUCUCCGCUAGCCACAAGAGGUGGUAAGAGGCUGAGCUGAAGCAGCUGCAGCAGGGAUGCAGAGGGUACAUUCCCCAAACCCUUAUGGGCAGAGUCCUUUGGCUUCAGUGACCAAGGCCAAGGGUGCAGAGGAGAAGCCCAAGAAGAUGCCAGGUGUCUGGCUUAUGCCCCUGUGUGAACGUGAAGCCUCUCAUUGACAUGCAGGUUACAGGAGGAAAAGCAGGUUUAUUUGGGAAGGAGGCUUCUAGACCAUGACUCCCAUUUUAGCCAUGUAGUUUUUGAAGUGCUUGUACAAGUUCUAGGUGGAAAUGUCCAGGAGGCAGUGGGGAACUCAAAGUAGAUCUCAGGAGAGAGGCUUAGGCCAGAGGGCUUGGGAAAUCAUCAGCAUGGGGGUGGGAGGAGAGCUGGUAUUUGGAUGAGAUUGCAGUGGAGCAUGAACAGAGUGGGAAAAGGUGGUGAUGAACCCAGGGACUCCAGUAUGCGGUAGCUGGCUGUGAGAUUAGGAAGCAAUGAAGGAGGCCAAGAAGGAUGUGGGGGAGAAGCAUCAAUAAGGAAUAAAUGAGUUGCAUGUGCUCCAGAGAGGCCAAAUAAAGACUGGAUUUGGCUCUCGCAGGUCAUACACGAAAGAAUCUUGGAACCAAAAGGAAAACGGUGGUGGUUUAAAGGGUAUAUUCAGUUUCUAGGUCUGCUGUCACAAAAUACCAGAAACUGGGUGUCUUGUUAAAACAACAGAAAUUUUUUGUCUCACAGUUUUGGAAGCUAGAAGUUCAAAAUGAGGUUUUGGCAGCACCAUGCUCUCUCUGAAGAUGCUAGGAAGAAUCUGCUCCAUGCCUUUCCAUUCGCUUCUGGGGUUUCCUGCAAGCCCUGACAUUCCUUGGCUUGUAGAUGCAUCACCCCAGUUUCUGCCCCCAUCAUCACAUGGCCUCCUCUCUGCGUGUGCCUCUGCGUUCCCUCUAUUCUUCUUCUAAGGACACCGACACCAGUCAUAGUGGAUUAAGGAUCCACUCCUAACUAAUUACAUCUGCAACAACCGUAUUUCCAAAUAAAGUCACAUUCUAAGAUUCCUAGGGAGAACAUGAAUUUUUGGGGGUGUGUGGAUACUGUUCAACCUGGGACAUGGAGUAAAUAAAUGGCAAGGAAGAUUACAGAUGACUUUAAGCUAAAGAGGGAGAUAGGGUUAAAUGUAGGACUUUUUUUUUUUUUCCAGGACGG
This 2377-nucleotide long non-coding RNA is filed under the name Pan troglodytes (chimpanzee). RNAcentral describes it as "lncRNA (ENSPTRG00000053781.1)". Lineage: Eukaryota; Metazoa; Chordata; Mammalia; Primates; Hominidae. The record is from RNAcentral.